Molecule: transfer RNA, 71 nt
Filed under: Diasporus diastema (Caretta robber frog)
Lineage: Eukaryota; Metazoa; Chordata; Amphibia; Anura; Eleutherodactylidae
Description: tRNA-Val
Source: RNAcentral
CAAAUCAUAGCUUAAAAUAAAGCAUCUUGCUUACACCAAGAAAAUGUCUAAUAACUAGACUGUUUUGAUAG